UGUUUAGGGACAGUCUCGGGGAGGAAUUGUUCUGAGACACAAAGUAUAAGAAUCUGAAAUACAGGACUGGGUUACUGGAAACAAGACAGUUUGAAAUAAAGACUGGGCGAAGUCUGGGAAGGAACUAAGAUGCACAAAGCUUUACAUCUUUAACAUCUACAUGUUCACAUCUACAUGAAGCCGCUGGGCCUGGUCAUCCAUCAGUUAGGGACAUGAGGCAGAUGCUGGAAGAAAAAGGCCGCAACUAUCAUUAACGUCAACAGCCAAUCAGAGCAGCAUGGGGAUUGGCUGAACUGUGUGGGUCUUAUCUAAAAGCUAUCAAAAAGUCUCAUCAAAAAGUGAUGAAAAGAAGCAGUAGCUGACCUUGACGGAAAGGAGAGCAGUGUCGAGGAAUGUAUCAUAAUUUCUACUGGGAAUGGACAGUGAUGGCAAAUGGAUUCAUGGCGCUGUAACCACAGUGUAUGACCUUAUCCCAGGUGGGAUUUGAUUUCCCUCUCCCACAUCUGUUCCCUCCCCACUGAUAAUUCGUUCACACUUGUGUAGUUUGUCAAACUAUUAAAGAAUCAUUGC
Molecule: long non-coding RNA, 570 nt
Organism: Hemicordylus capensis (graceful crag lizard)
Lineage: Eukaryota; Metazoa; Chordata; Lepidosauria; Squamata; Cordylidae
Exons: 3
Source: RefSeq, a predicted model, not a curated record